GUAGGUGGCAAGCGUUGUCCGGAAUUAUUGGGCGUAAAGCGCGCGCAGGCGGUUCUUUAAGUCUGAUGUGAAAGCCCACGGCUCAACCGUGGAGGGUCAUUGGAAACUGGAGAACUUGAGUACAGAAGAGGAAAGCGGAAUUCCACGUGUAGCGGUGAAAUGCGUAGAGAUGUGGAGGAACACCAGUGGCGAAGGCGUCUUUCUGGUCUGUAACUGACGCUGAGGCGCGAAAGCGUGGGGAGCAAACAGGAUUAGAUACCCUGGUAGUCCACGCCGUAAACGAUGAGUGCUAAGUGUUAGGGGGGUUUCCGCCCCCCUUAGUGCUGCAGCUAACGCAUUAAGCACUCCGCCCUGGGAGUACGGCCGCAAGGCUG
RNAcentral lists this ribosomal RNA (374 nucleotides) under uncultured organism. RNAcentral describes it as "partial 16S ribosomal RNA". It matches the Rfam family "Bacterial small subunit ribosomal RNA", at positions 527 to 896 of the family's 1533-position model. The record is from RNAcentral.